This 480-nucleotide long non-coding RNA is filed under the name Nothobranchius furzeri (turquoise killifish). Its description in RNAcentral is "lncRNA (ENSNFUG00015020579.1)". The record is from RNAcentral. Lineage: Eukaryota; Metazoa; Chordata; Actinopteri; Cyprinodontiformes; Nothobranchiidae.
AUGGUGCCACCUUAUGAAGAGACAGAAUCAAGACGUCGAUGGCACGAAAGCGACCCACACAGGUUGCCAGUUAGAGGGACGAACCAUCGUGUAACACCACAGUACGAAGAGGUGGAGCGUCAGUAUGCAUCCUUACCGAGACGAGGUCCGUUGGAUCCUGCAGAUUAUCCCGUCCAGCCAUGGGCAGGUCAUUACCCCGGGCCUCCCCAGGCCCAGCAGGGAUACCCCCAAUCCCAGACCUACUCCAACUCCCAGCCUGGCUUGUCUCAUUCCAACUACCCACCUGGCCCGCCAUACCCACGACCAGGAGACCCUCGGGGGAUUGAUGCUGGGUACCAUCCCCACCCCAGCUCCCAGCAGAGAGGGCCCUUACGACAGGAUGUGCCCCCAUCUCCUCCCCUCCGGGCCCCACGGUAUGGAACUAUGACCCAUGGAACUGUGGGGGGAGGGUACAGGUAAAGAGGGCCGGUCUUCUGUUAG